ACAUUGGUGGUUCAGUGGUAGAAUUCUCGCCUUCCAUGCAGAAGACCCUGGUUCGAUUUCUGGCCAAUGUA
RNAcentral lists this transfer RNA (71 nucleotides) under Loxodonta africana (African savanna elephant). It matches the Rfam family "tRNA". Rfam says of the family: Transfer RNA (tRNA) molecules are approximately 80 nucleotides in length. The record is from Rfam by way of RNAcentral. Lineage: Eukaryota; Metazoa; Chordata; Mammalia; Proboscidea; Elephantidae.